CGACUGUUGAUUUGAGUGUUUUGUUCUUCCGUGGGAUCGGAUCCUUGUUCGAUUGCCUUGUCGCUAAUUUCUUUGAUCAGAUGUUUUUGUUAAUGGGUGUCCCUGAUUUAGGGCUUUUGAAGUUCGGAUUUUGGGAAUUUGGAUUUUGGUGAAUCCGGUCGAGUAGACGAUGAUUCGGACAGAUUAUAGGGUUUUGAUCAUUUUCGGUUGUUAGUUCCUAAAAAUACGUGUUCUUAGAAUUGGGUUCUGAUUGUAUUCUAUUCUGGGGAAUUUCUCCCUUGGAUCUGUGAAACCCUAAAUGAAGAUUCAUGAUCUCAUCGUAGGUUAGGUCGCUGUCGCCCAAUGUUCUUGACUCUGUUGCUCUGCCUCUGGAAGCUACCAUUUGGAUCAGAUCCUCUUCCUUGUCUGCAUUGUCCGAUUCCGAUCACAAGACUCGAAUUCUGGAGGCGACGUCUUAGGCUGGUUUCUGGUUGUUUUCCAGGACUUUCUGGUCGAGUUUCGAGUGGUUUCGGGAGCAGGUGAUGGUCUGUUAUGGUUCAAGAUUUAGAUCAGGUUCUGGUUCAGCCCAAAACAGGUUCUGGUCUUUUUCUGAUCGGGUUUUAUACAAGGCUCUUGUCUGGUUUUAGAAUCAGUUUUGGUCCUGCUACAUAUUCCAGCCGUGGUCUGAUUGUGUUUUUUUUUUUAAAUUCUACUUUAGUUCUGGUUAUGUUUCCAACUAGUGUAGAUUCUGAUCUGAUCUGGUUUUAUUUUAGGUUUGGUUCCGAAUCUGAUUGUUUACUAUUCUGGUUUAGUCCUUGUUCUGUAGCAAACCAUUUUAGGUUCUGGUCUGGUUUAGGUCGUGUUUUGAUCUGGUUUAAGUUGUACUCUGGUCUGGUUUAGUUUGUGUUCUGAUUUGGUUUA
Long non-coding RNA from Tarenaya hassleriana, 900 nucleotides. RefSeq lists it as uncharacterized. NCBI's taxonomy places the organism in Eukaryota, Viridiplantae, Streptophyta, Magnoliopsida, Brassicales, Cleomaceae. The record is from RefSeq and is a predicted model, not a curated record. The transcript has 2 exons.